UACAGAGGUCUCACGCGUUGUUCGGAUUCAUUGGGCGUAAAGGGUGCGUAGGCGGCGCGGUAAGUCGGGUGUGAAAUCUCGGGGCUUAACUCCGAAACUGCAUUCGAUACUACCGUGCUUGAGGACUGGAGAGGAGACUGGAAUUUACGGUGUAGCGGUGAAAUGCGUAGAUAUCGUAAGGAAGACCAGUGGCGAAGGCGGGUCUCUGGACAGUUCCUGACGCUGAGGCACGAAGGCCAGGGGAGCAAACGGG
This 253-nucleotide ribosomal RNA is filed under the name uncultured bacterium. RNAcentral's name for it is "partial 16S ribosomal RNA". It matches the Rfam family "Bacterial small subunit ribosomal RNA", at positions 524 to 776 of the family's 1533-position model. The record is from RNAcentral.